GGGAACUUGGAUGCUGAUCGGUCUUUUUAUAUUCAGCUGUGGUUGAUUUGAAUACUGGCCCCUUGUGAUAGUAACAGUUAUGCAAAAAUACAACAGAGAGAAUGGUAAAUCAUAGGAAACUAAUGAACUGUAUUGACUGAACUAUGCCAUGUAUCAUGUUUUGUAUUAUUAAAGCUAUAGUUUAUAUUAUUUUCAUUAGCAAACUAUCCCAUGACGAUCGUGUAGAGAAGAACGUUAAGAAAAGGAAGUAUAGUGCAGAUAUUUUACAGUAUAGUUUUAUCUCAAUAAUUAUAGCAGGAAUUGAGAUAAACUGCAAUGAGUUAUUUGUUGUGAAGUUCUAUCAGCCGAAUUUAUGAAGCCAAACAAGCUAAAAUGCC
Molecule: long non-coding RNA, 377 nt
Filed under: Androctonus crassicauda
Lineage: Eukaryota; Metazoa; Arthropoda; Arachnida; Scorpiones; Buthidae
Source: RNAcentral